Long non-coding RNA from Zerene cesonia (dogface butterfly), 698 nucleotides. RefSeq lists it as uncharacterized. Lineage: Eukaryota; Metazoa; Arthropoda; Insecta; Lepidoptera; Pieridae. The record is from RefSeq and is a predicted model, not a curated record. The transcript is spliced from 2 exons.
AAGCAGCUGCGCGGGGGUUCCGGCACGAUACCUAUUUCAUUAGAGUAGUGGAGAGGUUCGUAGGUUAGAUUAAGAUGUAUUCUAGGUGUAGUCUCUAUACCAGUAGGAAUUAUAAUGUUUUAAAAAAUGUAGAUUUAAAAGUGAAUUAGAAUAAUGAAAUAAGUCUCGACCUAGAGAAGAUUGCAUAAAAUGGAUAGCAUAGAACGAUCCAAGAUGGCGCAGUCAUCGCCCGGUUGAAAAUGUAGGCUGUCGUAACUGCGUAAUUUGGUUUAUCAUCGAAAAGAUGGGAGUGAAAUCGCCCCGGGAGGCAGCAAAGAUAUUAAUAAUAAGAGCCGGGUUAUCACGGUCAGGCAGGCAGGUCGCAUAGCCAACGUUGUUGUAGGCCGCUUGUAGAGCCUUCGUAUACCCUUGGUCGCGACGAUUUUGUAUCAUCAAGGAACCCCGGUCGUCCGUAGAGAAACUUCCCCGAUUAGGGAUUUUCUUAAAUUUAAAUUAAGUACAGGUAUAUAAAACUAGUUCAUAACAUUUAUAUAAUAGUUACACAAUUUCGUACACAUUAAGACGAAUUUUGCUUCAAUAAUUCAUGAAGUUUUUCGACAUCGCACACAUUUACAUUUUUUAAACAGAUAUUAAUAUAUAUUAUUUUCAUUUAAACGAACAUAUUCGGAUCUUAUUACAUCCUAUGUGUAGAUAUGACC